ACCCCCUGGCAAUGGGCAAAGAGACACCUCACUGGUGGUGUUGUUCUUAUAUCAGUCAGGGGCAGAGCAGAUGACAGUCCUUUGUUCAUCCUAGCUUGAUGCCUGGGUUGGUGGCCUAAGCUGUUUCAUGCCUAGGGUACAUAA
Molecule: small nucleolar RNA, 144 nt
Filed under: Octodon degus (degu)
Lineage: Eukaryota; Metazoa; Chordata; Mammalia; Rodentia; Octodontidae
Description: Small nucleolar RNA SNORA48 (ENSODEG00000021514.1)
Rfam family: Small nucleolar RNA SNORA48
About the family: The snoRNA ACA 48 has been identified to guide pseudouridylation of the residue U3797 in the 28S rRNA subunit. Its host gene EIF4A1 (eukaryotic translation initiation factor 4A1) is shared with U67 and snoRNA mgU6-77
Source: Rfam by way of RNAcentral